GAUGAACGCUGGCGGCGUGCCUAAUACAUGCAAGUCGAGCGAACGGACGAGAAGCUUGCUCCUCUGACGUUAGCGGCGGACGGGUGAGUAACACGUGGAUAACCUACCUAUAAGACUGGGAUAACUUCGGGAAACCGGAGCUAAUACCGGAUAAUAUUUUGAACCGCAUGGUUCAAUAGUGAAAGACGGUUUUGCUGUCACUUAUAGAUGGAUCCGCGCCGCAUUAGCUAGUUGGUAAGGUAACGGCUUACCAAGGCAACGAUGCGUAGCCGACCUGAGAGGGUGAUCGGCCACACUGGAACUGAGACACGGUCCAGACUCCUACGGGAGGCAGCAGUAGGGAAUCUUCCGCAAUGGGCGAAAGCCUGACGGAGCAACGCCGCGUGAGUGAUGAAGGUCUUCGGAUCGUAAAACUCUGUUAUUAGGGAAGAACAAAUGUGUAAGUAACUAUGCACAUCUUGACGGUACCUAAUCAGAAAGCCACGGCUAACUACGUG
This 497-nucleotide ribosomal RNA is filed under the name uncultured bacterium. RNAcentral describes it as "partial 16S ribosomal RNA". It matches the Rfam family "Bacterial small subunit ribosomal RNA", at positions 28 to 507 of the family's 1533-position model. The record is from RNAcentral.